Long non-coding RNA from Xenopus tropicalis (tropical clawed frog), 877 nucleotides. RefSeq lists it as uncharacterized. The record is from RefSeq and is a predicted model, not a curated record. Lineage: Eukaryota; Metazoa; Chordata; Amphibia; Anura; Pipidae. The transcript has 3 exons.
UCGUUCAGUGACGCGUUGCUAAAGCAACGCUCUACUCUUCUAAUCUGCCCUUUCUGAGUUAUUGGAGGAGGGACAGAUCCCUUGCACUUCCCAAUUGUGGCCAGCAGGGGCUUACUUCACACACUAGUGGUGAUGUCAUCAUUACCAGCCACAUCUACUACGAGGGGGAUGGGCACUCACCCCAUGCUGUAGCACUGUAUAAAAAGGCCCUAAGGAGGCCACACUGUAAACACUCUUGAGAAAGCGUACCGCCAGUACUUGAAACGUGUCGAGUUUUCUGAAAGCCUGUACAUUAUCUACACUGUAAUUCAUCACACUAGAGACUGUGGACUUUUUCUGUCGAUAAGCCAGAAAAAUGAAACUCACUGUGAGGAAGCCACCGGCUCAGUAGCACAGGAGGAAGGUGCUUCAACAUCUCGCGAAGUAUCUGCUGACAGUGGGUCCUGCAACUGGCACGUGAUUUCCAGGGCGCUUCACUGCCAGAAGGCGGACUCCUGCACGCCCAUCAGGACAGGACUAAGCCCAGCUAGCCAAAGCCUACAUGAUGAGGAAAAAAAAAAGUGGAGGCAUGUGUCUCGCCACCUAUCAAACAUCCACAACGUGCAGCUCCUAACGCUCGACCGUUUGGACAGCAUGAUUGGUGUUUGGCAAGAAACAAAUAGCAUUUUAACAAACAUAGCAGAAAAUAUGCGGGGGGUGGCAAGCAGCAGCAUGAGUGCAUCCACCCAAACUAUUGUAGAAGCCGAAGAAGCAAUACAGGUUGCUCCUACUGUCCCCAGGGGUGCCAGAACAAGGGGUGGGAGACAUAUAAGGCCCCCUAGGCUCACAGACCUGUAAAAUUCUUUUUUCAGAAUGCUAUAAUAAAAGUUUAUAUGUU